RNAcentral lists this ribosomal RNA (868 nucleotides) under Salmonella enterica. RNAcentral describes it as "partial 23S ribosomal RNA". It matches the Rfam family "Bacterial large subunit ribosomal RNA", at positions 1935 to 2802 of the family's 2925-position model. Lineage: Bacteria; Pseudomonadati; Pseudomonadota; Gammaproteobacteria; Enterobacterales; Enterobacteriaceae. The record is from RNAcentral.
CGUAACUAUAACGGUCCUAAGGUAGCGAAAUUCCUUGUCGGGUAAGUUCCGACCUGCACGAAUGGCGUAAUGAUGGCCAGGCUGUCUCCACCCGAGACUCAGUGAAAUUGAACUCGCUGUGAAGAUGCAGUGUACCCGCGGCAAGACGGAAAGACCCCGUGAACCUUUACUAUAGCUUGACACUGAACAUUGAGCCUUGAUGUGUAGGAUAGGUGGGAGGCUUUGAAGUGUGGACGCCAGUCUGCAUGGAGCCGGCCUUGAAAUACCACCCUUUAAUGUUUGAUGUUCUAACGUGGACCCGUGAUCCGGGUUGCGGACAGUGUCUGGUGGGUAGUUUGACUGGGGCGGUCUCCUCCUAAAGAGUAACGGAGGAGCACGAAGGUUGGCUAAUCCUGGUCGGACAUCAGGAGGUUAGUGCAAUGGCAUAAGCCAGCUUGACUGCGAGCGUGACGGCGCGAGCAGGUGCGAAAGCAGGUCAUAGUGAUCCGGUGGUUCUGAAUGGAAGGGCCAUCGCUCAACGGAUAAAAGGUACUCCGGGGAUAACAGGCUGAUACCGCCCAAGAGUUCAUAUCGACGGCGGUGUUUGGCACCUCGAUGUCGGCUCAUCACAUCCUGGGGCUGAAGUAGGUCCCAAGGGUAUGGCUGUUCGCCAUUUAAAGUGGUACGCGAGCUGGGUUUAGAACGUCGUGAGACAGUUCGGUCCCUAUCUGCCGUGGGCGCUGGAGAACUGAGGGGGGCUGCUCCUAGUACGAGAGGACCGGAGUGGACGCAUCACUGGUGUUCGGGUUGUCAUGCCAAUGGCACUGCCCGGUAGCUAAAUGCGGAAGAGAUAAGUGCUGAAAGCAUCUAAGCACGAAACUUGCCCCGA